RNAcentral lists this ribosomal RNA (271 nucleotides) under uncultured bacterium. RNAcentral describes it as "partial 16S ribosomal RNA". It matches the Rfam family "Bacterial small subunit ribosomal RNA", at positions 793 to 1055 of the family's 1533-position model. The record is from RNAcentral.
GUCCUAGCCCUAAAACGAUGAUUGCUUGGUGUAGCAGGUACCCAAUCCUGCUGUGCCGCAGCUAACGCGAUAAGCAAUCCGCCUGGGUAGUAACGGUCGCAAAGGCUGAAAACUCAAAGGAAUUGACGGGGGCCCCGCACAAGCGGUGGAGCAUGUGGUUCAAUUCGACGCAACGCGAAGAAACCUUACCUGGGCUCGAAGCGCAGUGGACCGGGAUGGAAACAUCCCUUCCCCUUAAAAGGCUGCUGCGGAGGUGCUGCAUGGCUGUCGU